CCAGAACCUGGUGCUGCAAGCUGCC
RNAcentral lists this microRNA (25 nucleotides) under Anopheles gambiae (African malaria mosquito). Its description in RNAcentral is "aga-miR-10357-5p". The record is from miRBase by way of RNAcentral. Lineage: Eukaryota; Metazoa; Arthropoda; Insecta; Diptera; Culicidae.